AGAAAAGUGCAGUGGUUAGAAACUCCAGCACAGAGGGCAAAGAGAUUUGGUUCAAAUUCCAGCUAGACAACCGGCCAUACUGGGGCCUGCCUCAUCCUGGGCAAGGAGACAAUGAUUGUUCUGGGCUUCUGCACUGUGACGGCUAACCAAGUCAGACUCUCGGUGAGCACUCUAUUAAAACAUGCUUAAGUGAGAUAAGUCAGAAGCAGAAGGAGGAAUAUGGGAUGAUCUCACUCAUAAGCAGAAAUUGAAAAACCGGACCAGAAGGGAAAACACUAAGCAGAACUUGGACUGGAGUUGGUGUACUGCACCAAAGUAAAAGACUCUGGGGUGGGGCGUAGAGUUCAGGUCCUGGAACAGGACGGCAGAGGAGGAUCUAGUGGGGGUUGUAUUUUUGUGUGGAAAACUAGGAAAUGUUGUACAUGUACAAACUAUUGUUAUACUGUCGACUGUAAAACAUUAAUCCCCCAAUAAAGAA
Erinaceus europaeus (western European hedgehog) is the source of this 478-nucleotide long non-coding RNA. RefSeq lists it as uncharacterized. The record is from RefSeq and is a predicted model, not a curated record. The transcript is spliced from 3 exons. Lineage: Eukaryota; Metazoa; Chordata; Mammalia; Eulipotyphla; Erinaceidae.